UACGGAGGAUGCGAGCGUUAUCCGGAUUUAUUGGGUUCAAAGGGUGCGUAGGCGGACUGUCAAGUCAGCGGUAAAAUUGAGAGGCUCAACCUCUUCCCGCCGUUGAAACUGGUGGUCUUGAGUGGAUGAGAAGUACGCGGAAUGCGUGGUGUAGCGGUGAAAUGCAUAGAUAUCACGCAGAACUCCGAUUGCGAAGGCAGCGUACCGGCAUCCAACUGACGCUGAGGCGCGAAAGCGUGGGGAUCAAACAGG
This 252-nucleotide ribosomal RNA is filed under the name uncultured bacterium. RNAcentral's name for it is "partial 16S ribosomal RNA". It matches the Rfam family "Bacterial small subunit ribosomal RNA", at positions 524 to 776 of the family's 1533-position model. The record is from RNAcentral.